CCAGGGGAUCCCGUACCUGAGCAACCGCCCGGGCGCGUGGCUGAGGCUUCCCAGAUGCCCCGAGAGGCACGAAAUGAAUGGUGUGAUUGAGGAGGCCAAGCACUGGGGCAAAGGGAAGCCGCUGCUGGCCCCUCUGUGAGCUAAAGGAAGUGGCAAGGUGAAGAAGUCCAGAAUCUUAAGUGGAGACCAGUUUUGCCCCAAGCACAAAGUAGACAGAAGUACAAAAACUUCCUGUUUGCAGCUCCUGAGAACGUGUUCCAGUGAUGGAACCUCAAAGGAAUUUGUGCAUUCCUCUCCCACAAGUGUCCAGGGCAAAAGUGCUGGGAGAAUGAGUUCACAGAAGAAGCAAGAAUGGCAGAGCUCUGUGAGAUGAGCCAGUGUUCAAGAGAAAGAAAAAUAACUAAGUGAGCCAACACACUAGUUUUCCUCCAUAUAAAAAAGUUUGGGUAAAAGAGCUACUCAGAACUAUAAGCCACACGUGUAACUUUCCCAAGACACACACUGGGCAAGCUUACACAGAGACUAUAACCUGUCCCAGUUGGUAUGUCCAAAGCCUAGUCUCCUUACUUCCUGCCAGGAGUUCCAGGUCUGUCAGAGGACUCCAUUACUGAAGUUCACCUGGAUGAGAGGAAGGGAACGGUUUCCCAGUUAGGACAAAGUCCAGUCUCCAGAGGGACUGUGAUCUGUGUGUGCAUCCACACACCAACAUUUUGAUUUGACUGAAAGGGUACAGGUGGGCAGGGCGACGCAGAAGACUCCCAACUUUACAUGAUGAGACAGUGGAGCAGCAGCCAGCCAGUUUGAAGUUUGGGCAUGUUUGGGAUGCAGCCCUGAUUGUGUAUAAAAGCUUGGAGGUGUGGCGAUGGAUCUGAACCAAGAGAAGUUAUUGGACUGAGCCUGGAGAGAUCAGUAGGCCUGAAUAUUCAGGUGAAAAUAUACACAAUAAAGACAAAUGUUCUUGGCAAAAUCAGAAAACUGCUUGGGGAUACACAGCUCAGUAAUAGAGUGCUUGCCCACAUGCUCAAGGGCCAGGAUUUGAUCUCUAGCACCAGGCAAUAGAAGAGCAAAAAAUAGAACUUAACAGGCAUGUGUCACAUAAUUCUUCCCCUGUUGUUAAACUGACUGUGGAGACAGUGAAAGGAUCUGCUUCUGGAUGUCACCUUAACCGAGAAAGGAAGGAGGCACUUGUCCAGUCUUCAGGAGCACCCGGCCUCAGGCAGAACAUUCUAGGAAAGCUCAAAGAUGUCUUGGGAACUUCUGCAAUGAGUCCAGUGACUAUGGCGGAGGAAAGAGCCUGCUUGAUGGCCUCUGGCAGUCAGAGCUGAUCCAACAAGGCCUGACACUAGAAAUCCAAAAGCCUGAGCCCCUCUAACCAGCCCGUCUUCCUUACAGGUACUCUAUUCCACAAACUGAGCACAAAG
This 1421-nucleotide long non-coding RNA is filed under the name Cricetulus griseus (Chinese hamster). Its description in RNAcentral is "lncRNA (ENSCGRG00015029707.1)". The record is from RNAcentral. Lineage: Eukaryota; Metazoa; Chordata; Mammalia; Rodentia; Cricetidae.